Molecule: long non-coding RNA, 959 nt
Filed under: Fukomys damarensis (Damara mole-rat)
Lineage: Eukaryota; Metazoa; Chordata; Mammalia; Rodentia; Bathyergidae
Description: lncRNA (ENSFDAG00000031631.1)
Source: RNAcentral
AUGGAGCUAUGGAGGGAGGGGAGGAAAACAGGAAGUAAGAUGUGUUAUGCACGUGUACCAACUCCAAAAGGGAAUGGAAGCAUCGUGCUCUGCAAUCGUGUACCACUGAGAAAGAAGGAAAACAGCCCAGAGGCCCGGGCAUCCAGUCACCGGCUUUACACCAGGGGACUGAGGCUGCCAGCUGCUGGAGUAUUUGGUCUGGAGGAAGAAGUGCACAGUUCAGCUGGUCUCUGCACCCUGCGAAGUUCUCAGGAGGAGAUUCAGGCUGGCAGAGGCAUGGUGACCACCCCCAAAGGGAAGCUGGGGGAGAUGGAGGGGCGGGGCUUUGGGUUUAGGAAGUAAGUGCGCUCUGAGCCAGGACCCAUUCCCCUGUUCACCCUGAAAAGAAACAGCCUUCCCAGGUUGACUUUGCAGAGGCACCAAGAAUCUCAGCUUUGAUGCAGCAAUGGAUAAGAGAGGUUUAAUUAUUGAGGGAAAAGGCGUGUGUAUGUUGUACCUUGCCCUACAGUGUCAGUCCCUUCUCAAGAGCAUGCAUUCAUCCUGUUCUCUUUUUUACCCCCAAAUAACCUGCACCUUUAUCCCCCAGAUUAGAGAAGUCAUCCUCACCUCCCAGUCCCGAGUUCAAAUUGGCUGAAGCCUCCCUGCCCCAUCCCACCCUGUCCGUGGGAGCUGACAAGGUGUCUAGAGGCGGCUGUCUGGCUGUCCUGGGCCUCUGUGGGGCCUGAGGCUCUUGAGUUCCCAGCCAGGGCGAGACCUCAGGCUUCCACUUGCGCCUCCUGUUCUGAGUCAGCUUCAGAGGGAGAAGGUUUUUGCCUGUUCUGCCGUCACAGUCGCAACCCACCCCCGCCAGAAGUCUGGAAGGCUCCCCAGAAGGAGGAUUGAGUUCAAAGCCAGCCUGGGCUAUGGUGAGACUCUGUCCCAAAUGAAUGAACACAAAGCAAAGCAAAACAAUCAGAAAG